This 409-nucleotide ribosomal RNA is filed under the name uncultured bacterium. RNAcentral's name for it is "bacterial SSU rRNA". It matches the Rfam family "Bacterial small subunit ribosomal RNA", at positions 355 to 776 of the family's 1533-position model. The record is from RNAcentral.
UGGGGAAUAUUGGACAAUGGGCGGAAGCCUGAUCCAGCAACGCCGCGUGAGGGAUGACGGCCUUCGGGUUGUAAACCUCUUUCAGCACCGACGAAGCGGGAGUGACGGUAGGUGCAGAAGAAGGACCGGCCAACUACGUGCCAGCAGCCGCGGUAAUACGUAGGGUCCGAGCGUUGUCCGGAAUUAUUGGGCGUAAAGGGCUCGUAGGCGGUUUGUCGCGUCGGGAGUGAAAUCACCGGGCUUAACUUGGUGCUUGCUUUCGAUACGGGCAGACUGGAGGUAUGCAGGGGAGAACGGAAUUCCUGGUGUAGCGGUGAAAUGCGCAGAUAUCAGGAGGAACACCGGUGGCGAAGGCGGUUCUCUGGGCAUGACCUGACGCUGAGGAGCGAAAGUGUGGGGAGCGAACAGG